RNAcentral lists this ribosomal RNA (689 nucleotides) under uncultured organism. Its description in RNAcentral is "bacterial SSU rRNA". It matches the Rfam family "Bacterial small subunit ribosomal RNA", at positions 28 to 714 of the family's 1533-position model. The record is from RNAcentral.
AUUGAACGCUGGACGGCAGGCCUAACACAUGCAAGUCGAGCGCGAGAGGCCUUCGGGUUGAGUAGAGCGGCGGACGGGUGAGUAACGCGUAGGAAUCUACCUGGUAGUGGGGGACAACUCGGGGAAACUCGAGCUAAUACCGCAUACGCCCUGAGGGGGAAAGCCGGGGAUCUUCGGACCUCGCGCUAUUGGAUGAGCCUGCGUUGGAUUAGCUGGUUGGUGGGGUAAAGGCCUACCAAUGCGAUGAUCCAUAGCUGGUCUGACAGGAUGAUCAGCCACACCGGGACUGAGACACGGCCCGGACUCCUACGGGAGGCAGCCGUGGGGAAUAUUGCGCAAUGGGGGCAACCCUGACGCAGCCAUGCCGCGUGUGUGACGAAGGCCUUCGGGUUGUCAAGCACUUUCACUUGGGAAGAAACGCUGUCGGUUACUACCCGCCAGAAUUGACAUUACCUUGAGAAGAAGCACCGGCUAACUCCGUGCCAGCAGUCGCGGUAAUACGGAGGGUGCGAGCGUUCAUCGGAAUUACUGGGCGUAAAGCGCGCGUAGGCGGUUUGUUAAGUCGGAUGUGAAAGCCCCGGGCUCAACCUGGGAAUUGAACCCGAUACUGGCCGACUGGAGUGCGAGAGAGGGAGGUAGAAUUCCACGUGUAGCGGUGACAUGCGUAGAUCUGUGGAGGAAUACCGGUG